RNAcentral lists this long non-coding RNA (1207 nucleotides) under Mytilus galloprovincialis (Mediterranean mussel). Lineage: Eukaryota; Metazoa; Mollusca; Bivalvia; Mytilida; Mytilidae. The record is from RNAcentral.
GAAUGUAGGCAAAUCAUAUGAUAUAUAUGUGGCGUCCUUUGGGCCACUCUACCCCUCCUGUUUGAUAACUUUGAAACGGAUGAGAUCCCCACCUCUCAACCAUAUACAUUCAUGUAUGGGACUAUAUAUAUAACUAAUCAAAUGAAAUAUAAGGGGAGUCCAUGGGGUGACCCACCCCCUCCUGUUUGGGAACUUACGAAACGGUCGAGAUCCCCACCCCUAGACAAUAUAUAUUCAUGUAUGGGUCAAUAUAACUAAUUAAAUGAAAUAUAGGGGGAGUCCCCCUACCCCCUCCUGUUUGAGAACUUGGAAACCGAUGAGAUCCCACCCCUAAACCAUAUAUAUUCAUGUAUGGGACAAUAUAACAAAUCAAAUGAAAUAUAGGGGAAGUCCCUGGGGUCAUCCUAUCCCUUCCUGUUUGAGAACUUGAAAACCCUCGAGAUCCCCACCCCUAAACCAUAUAUAUUCAUGUAUGGAACAAUAUAACAAAUCAAAUGAAAUAUAGGGGAAGUCUCUGGGGUCACCCUACCCCUUCCUGUUUGAGAACUUGAAAACCCUCGAGAUCCCCACCCCUAAACCAUAUAUAUUCAUGUUUGGGACAAUAUAACAAAUCAUUUACAUUUACUAUGGGCAGGUCAGUCAGACCUCACCUUUGAUCCUUGUAGUAGUGAACAUUUGUCUGAUUUGUGUCGCAUAACUAUUGUACUAUAGAACACAUACUCAGUUUUCUUUACAGGGAAACCAGUCCAUUCAUACUAUUACAUGUUCUUACUAAGUCAACACGUACUACUAACAGUCAACUAAAACAAACGUUAACUACCAACUAGAACAACUACAAUCAUUGCGAACUUGUACCACUGCAGACUCACCAUAAAAAAUAUACAUUUAUAUAUUCAUUGCUAUUGAAACCUUGAUAACAUAUAAAAAUUAUUUGCCUUAAUAAUUAGUUCAUUAGAUAAACAUAAAUGUACAAUAUAUGAAUGUUUAAUGCCACAUCAGAGGCGGAUUUAGAGGGUUUUUCAGUGGGCCCGCUCCCCCCUUCCAUUUUUGAGAAAAAAUUUGGUUGAUUAUAUAGGUAAUCACUGAAGCAUGACUGGAGCAGGUCCCCUGUUAGGCAGGCAGUGGGCUCCCACUAAUGAAAAUUUCUUGAUCCGCCACUGCACAUAAUUACGUUUGCCUGGUUUUUGGUUAACUGCCUUCAGCGCUU